AAUUUCAUAAACAACUAUCAACCCUCACACACCAUUGAAUAAUUCUAUAACAAUAUAGAAAAUAUUAUGCUAGAACUAGUAACAAGAAUUUAAUAUUCUCCAAAAUGCAAGUAUUAACCAAAAUGGAUUCUCCAUUGGUAAUUAACGAAAAUGAGCCCGAUACAGUAACCGCCAAGAAAACCCUGUAUAAAUUAUUCGUCAACCUAACACUAGAGCAUUCCCGGAAAGAUUUAAAGAAAAAGAAGGAAUUCAGCAAAUUAUGACCUCGCCUGUUUACCAAAAACAUCGCCUCUUGAUUAACAAUAAGAGGUCCAGCCUGCCCAGUGAUAAAAUUCAACGGCCACAGUACCCUAACUGUGCGAAGGUAGCAUAAUCACUUGUUCUUUAAAUAAGGACUUGUAUCAACGGCAUCACGAAGGUCAUACUGUCUCCCUUUUCUAAUCAGUGAAACUGAUCUCCCCGUGAAGAAGCGGGGAUAAAACUAUAAGACGAGAAGACCCCAUGGAGCUUUAAACCCUUCAGCAACUCAACUACACACUCCUUCAUAAUCUUAGAGCAAUGCCCAAAGGUUUUAGGCUGGGGUGGCCGCGGAGUAAAAAUCAACCUCCACGACGAAAAGAACUAAAUCUUUAUCCUAGAGUUACUACUCUAAGAAUUAGAACACUAACGUACAAUGACCCAAUAAAUGAUCAACGAACCAAGUUACCCUGGGGAUAACAGCGCAAUCUACUUCAAGAGCCCAUAUCGACAAGUAGGCUUACGACCUCGAUGUUGGAUCAGGGUAUCCUAGUGGUGCAGCCGCUACUAAUGGUUC
This 814-nucleotide ribosomal RNA is filed under the name Philautus macroscelis. RNAcentral's name for it is "partial 16S ribosomal RNA". It matches the Rfam family "Bacterial large subunit ribosomal RNA", at positions 1531 to 2574 of the family's 2925-position model. The record is from RNAcentral. Lineage: Eukaryota; Metazoa; Chordata; Amphibia; Anura; Rhacophoridae.